This 301-nucleotide ribosomal RNA is filed under the name uncultured bacterium. Its description in RNAcentral is "partial 16S ribosomal RNA". It matches the Rfam family "Bacterial small subunit ribosomal RNA", at positions 509 to 807 of the family's 1533-position model. The record is from RNAcentral.
CAGUCGCCACGGUAAUACGUAGGGUGCGAGCGUUAAUCGGAAUUACUGGGCGUAAAGCGUGCGCAGGCGGUUCGUUAAGACAAAUGUGAAAUCCCCGGGCUCAACCUGGGAACUGCAUCUUAUACUGCGUAGCUGGAGUGCAGUAGAGGGUAGUGGAAUUUCCGGUGUAGCGGUGAAAUGCGUAGAUGUCGGAAGGAACACCAGUGGCGAAGGCGGCUACCUGGACUGACACUGACACUGAGGCGCGAAAGCGUGGGGAGCAAACAGGAUUAGAUACCCGUGUAGUCCCUGUCUCUUAUAC